AUUUAAAUAGUUUAAUUUAAAAUUUUGAUUUGUGAUAUCAAAGAUGUCUUGUUUGACUUUAAAUA
RNAcentral lists this transfer RNA (65 nucleotides) under Agrilus mali. RNAcentral describes it as "tRNA-His". Lineage: Eukaryota; Metazoa; Arthropoda; Insecta; Coleoptera; Buprestidae. The record is from RNAcentral.